CCUACGGGUGGCUGCAGUGGGGAAUAUUGCACACUGGGGGAAACCCUGAUGCAGCGACGCCGCGUGAGUGAAGAAGUAUUUCGGUACGUAAAGCUCUAUCAGCAGGGAAGACAAUGACGGUACCUGACUAAGAAGCCCCGGCUAACUACGUGCCAGCAGCCGCGGUAAUACGUAGGGGGCAAGCGUUAUCCGGCUUUACUGGGUGUAAAGGGAGCGUAGACGGCAGCGCAAGUCUGGAGUGAAAUCCCAUGGCUUAACCAUGGAACUGCUUUGGAAACUGUGCAGCUAGAGUGCAGGAGAGGUAAGCGGAAGUCCUAGUGUAGCGGUGAAAUGCGUAGAUAUUAGGAAGAACACCAGUGGCGAGGGCGGAUUACUGGACGAUAACUGACGGUGAGGCGCGAAAGCGUGGGGAGCAAACAGGAUUAGAUACCCGGGUAGUC
RNAcentral lists this ribosomal RNA (440 nucleotides) under uncultured bacterium. RNAcentral's name for it is "partial 16S ribosomal RNA". It matches the Rfam family "Bacterial small subunit ribosomal RNA", at positions 338 to 795 of the family's 1533-position model. The record is from RNAcentral.